RNAcentral lists this ribosomal RNA (250 nucleotides) under uncultured bacterium. RNAcentral's name for it is "partial 16S ribosomal RNA". It matches the Rfam family "Bacterial small subunit ribosomal RNA", at positions 524 to 773 of the family's 1533-position model. The record is from RNAcentral.
AACGUAGGGGGCGAGCGUUGCCCGGAUUCACUGGGCGUAAAGCGGGUGUAGGCGGUCCGUUAAGUCGGAUGUGAAAUCUCCGAGCUCAACUCGGAAACUGCAUCCGAUACUGUCGGACUUGAGGACGGUAGAGGUCGGUGGAAUGACCAGUGUACCGGUGAAAUGGACAGAUAUUGGUCGGAACACCAGUGGCGAAGGCGGCCGACUGGGCCGUUCCUGACGCUGAGACCCGAAAGCCAGGGUAGCGAAC